AUGGAUUAGUUUUAAAAAUUUUCAAAGGGUAUGGCAGCCAUGGCGGAAAUCGGAACAGAGAUUUUGGUUCGCGAAUACCUGUUGAUGAAACAUCUCCUCUAUUUUCUGCCAUAAUUCUGAAGCAGAUGCAGUUCCUCUAGGCAAUCUGAAUUAGCGAUGGAGAAAGAUUUGUUGUUAUCAAGGCGCACACAUAAGCAUCAGAUCUAUCCCAAGCAAUUCUAGCUUCAACUUCACUUGGUGGAACAACUUCACAAUUCAGAUGAUGAUGAAUCUGUCAUGAUUGAUAAGGAGACAAACAGAUUAAAGACGAAAUUUGAAGAAGAGAAGAACAAAUUUUGAAGAUGAGAUUUGAAAAUGAUUGAUCGGAAAGAAUGAAAAUUUCGCCGGAAAAAAUGGAAGUCUUGCCUGAGAUUGAACAACAUGCCAGAAUCAAGUCACCAGAAUCAAGAGCAUAUGCUCUGAUACCAUGUAAAUCAACAGAAUUGUAAGAGAUAGUAAACAGUUUCUCAUUAGUCUUAAUAUGAAUAAU
RNAcentral lists this long non-coding RNA (529 nucleotides) under Helianthus annuus (common sunflower). The record is from RNAcentral. Lineage: Eukaryota; Viridiplantae; Streptophyta; Magnoliopsida; Asterales; Asteraceae.